Molecule: ribosomal RNA, 433 nt
Filed under: uncultured bacterium
Lineage: Bacteria
Description: partial 16S ribosomal RNA
Rfam family: Bacterial small subunit ribosomal RNA
Source: RNAcentral
AAUGAACGCUGGCGGCAUGCCUAACACAUGCAAGUCGAACGAGACCUUCGGGUCUAGUGGCGCACGGGUGCGUAACGCGUGGGAACCUGCCCUUAGGUUCGGAAUAACUCCCCGAAAGGGGUGCUAAUACCGGAUAAUGUCUUCGGACCAAAGAUUGAUCGCCUUUGGAGGGGCCCGCGUUCGAUUAGCUAGUUGGUAGGGUAAAAGCCUACCACGGCGACGAUCCAUAGCUGGUCUGAGAGGAUGAUCAGCGACACUGGGACUGAGACACGGCCCAGACUCCUAGGGGAGGGAGCAGUGGGGAAUAUUGGAAAACGGGCGAGAGCAUGAUCCAGCUAUGCCUCGUGAGUGAUGAAGGCCGUAGGGAUGAAAAGCUCUUUUACCCGGGAUGAUAAUGACAGUACCGGGAGAAUAAGCUCCGGCUAACUCCGUG